GAAUCGUGUUUGCAAAAGAUUGCGCAAAUUCUCCACCAGUUUUAGGAUAUUCGAUUAUUCGAACCUGUUUGUGCUGAUACGGACUAAAAUUUGC
This 94-nucleotide transfer RNA is filed under the name Flavobacterium sp. PL002. RNAcentral's name for it is "Flavobacterium sp. PL0002 tRNA-Trp". The record is from RNAcentral. Lineage: Bacteria; Pseudomonadati; Bacteroidota; Flavobacteriia; Flavobacteriales; Flavobacteriaceae.